AUAGAUGAAUAAAAUGAAAAUAAUAAUAGAAAGAAUGGUGAAGAAAACAAAGUCUUAACUUUGUUAUUCUUAGCCGAACCAAAAGGGAGAAAAAGGGGAGCAAACAUUCAGCCAUUUGAAACCUAAGGAAGCUCAAGAGCAUAGGGGGGCAAUUUCGAAUAAGGGAAAAGAGAAAGCAAUCGAGUAGCAUAUCCGCAGUUGUUCAAAUAAAUCCGAGAUUUUGUUCGUGAACUAUCGGACUCGGGAGAUCCAAAGUCGAAGUCGUCCACACUAUCUAAACCUUUUGGGUACUCUUGUAAAUGAACCUUGAUAAUGGCAUGUAUAGGAUUGACUUUUGAUGUUAAUUACGUAUCUUUUUGGUGAUGUAUAUAUGUAUAGCCAUGCGAAAAUGGCUUGUUAAGUUAUUAUAUGCGCUCCACAUAAUUAAUGUGUAUGUGUGGAUGAUAAUCGAUUAAUGUUUUAAAUGUUUUGAUGUGAAUUAAACUUAGGAAUGAA
Long non-coding RNA from Gossypium arboreum, 495 nucleotides. RefSeq lists it as uncharacterized. The record is from RefSeq and is a predicted model, not a curated record. Lineage: Eukaryota; Viridiplantae; Streptophyta; Magnoliopsida; Malvales; Malvaceae. The transcript has 3 exons.